Molecule: long non-coding RNA, 504 nt
Organism: Triplophysa dalaica
Lineage: Eukaryota; Metazoa; Chordata; Actinopteri; Cypriniformes; Nemacheilidae
Exons: 3
Source: RefSeq, a predicted model, not a curated record
ACAAAUGCCGCUAACGUGCACCUCCUCGGGAGGUGAGGCAAGAAGCUGUCCAGAGCCUAGAAAUAAAUGGCUUUUGAACAGAAGAAUAAUGUCCUGUCUGGAAGAGGAAGUCUCAGGAAGUCAAUGGGAGCUGGGAAGCCAAAGGCCACGCAGCAGCUACAGGGGUUUUCUGCUGUGAUGGCCACUCUGCAGGUCGGGCACUGGCUGUUCUUCUCCAGCCAAACUUUAAUGCAGGUGUUGCAGAACACGUGGUUGUUGCAACAAAUGACCGGAUGACGCACCUUUGAUGCAAUAGAGCAAAGCAACAGGGAUUGCUUUCAUUCCGGGAGACGCAGUAGAAGCCGUCCGCCCGGCCCGGCUCGGGCACUCCUCUCUCGCCCCUGCACGGAGCUCAUCUCGGCUCCUGUGUCCCGACCCUCUGAUUUAUCUUCUACCGGCUCAGUGGCCUACGACGGUCCGAUGCCCCGGAGCCAAAGAGAUCUACGACCGUUUGCGCGCCGAAAG